Molecule: ribosomal RNA, 301 nt
Filed under: uncultured bacterium
Lineage: Bacteria
Description: partial 16S ribosomal RNA
Rfam family: Bacterial small subunit ribosomal RNA
Source: RNAcentral
CAGUCGCCGCGGUAAUACGUAGGUGGCGAGCGUUGUCCGGAUUUAUUGGGCGUAAAGCGAGCGCAGGCGGUUAGAUAAGUCUGAAGUUAAAGGCUGUGGCUUAACCAUAGUAUGCUUUGGAAACUGUUUAACUUGAGUGCAGAAGGGGAGAGUGGAAUUCCAUGUGUAGUGGUGAAAUGCGUAGAUGUAUGGAGGAACACCGGUGGCGAAAGCGGCUCUCUGGUCUGUAACUGACGCUGAGGCUCGAAAGCGUGGGGAGCAAACAGGAUUAGAUACCCCAGUAGUCCCUGUCUCUUAUACA